GUCCAAUACGUGGAACCCUGCUUCAAGGGCACCCUGGUCCAGGCUGACCUGGACAACCGAGAGCACUUCAAGUUGCUGGUUGAGGAGCUCCAGGUAAAAGGAGAGGGGAAAGUCAAGAAGGCCAUGAAGGAAUCCUUCAAAAUCCUCAAUGAGGCUGCAUCGUUGGGUCAGGGCAGUCUGUGUAACCAGGCCAUCAUGCUGAUCACUGACGGAGCCAUGGAGGAUUAUGAGGAAGUGUUUCAGGAGUUCAACUGGCCAGAACGCAGGGUGCGUGUUUUUACUUACCUUAUUGGUCGAGAGGUGACCUUCGCUGACACUGUGAAGUGGAUUGCCUGCAACAAUAAAGGU
Molecule: long non-coding RNA, 348 nt
Organism: Oncorhynchus nerka (sockeye salmon)
Lineage: Eukaryota; Metazoa; Chordata; Actinopteri; Salmoniformes; Salmonidae
Exons: 4
Source: RefSeq, a predicted model, not a curated record